ACGACAGAGCGGGGGUGCCCCACGGGGCUGAGAGAUACCCUUGGAACCUGACCCGGUUCGCACCGGCGUAGGGAAGCUUUGCCGACCCAGCC
This 92-nucleotide non-coding RNA is filed under the name Alkalilimnicola ehrlichii MLHE-1. RNAcentral's name for it is "TPP riboswitch aptamer (THI element)". It matches the Rfam family "TPP riboswitch aptamer (THI element)". From Rfam's summary of the family: Vitamin B(1) in its active form thiamin pyrophosphate (TPP) is an essential coenzyme that is synthesised by coupling of pyrimidine and thiazole moieties in bacteria. The previously detected thiamin-regulatory element, thi box was extended, resulting in a new, highly conserved RNA secondary structure, the THI element, which is widely distributed in eubacteria and also occurs in some archaea. RNAcentral also lists the same sequence under 1 other name. Lineage: Bacteria; Pseudomonadati; Pseudomonadota; Gammaproteobacteria; Chromatiales; Ectothiorhodospiraceae. The record is from Rfam by way of RNAcentral.